AAAAACAUAGCCUAAAGUAAUUUAAGAAACAUUUUAGGUAUCCUYUGCCCGGUGACUAAAAGAUGUUUAACGGCCGCAGUACCCUGACUGUGCUAAGGUAGCAUAAUCAGUUGGCUUUUAAAUGGAGUCUAGAAUGAAGGGGGUUACGGGGACAAGCUGUAUCAUUUAUUACUAUUUUGAAAUUGGUUGUAAGGUGAAAAAACCUUAAGUUUUUAGAAAAAAGACGAGAAGACCCUUAGAAUCUUAAUUAAAGGAGGUGGAUUUUACAAGGUAUUUCUUUUAUUUUUGUUGGGGCGACAGAGAGAGCAAAAUAGUUAAGUAAAAUAAACCCUCUCAUAAACAAAUUGAAUUACUUGACGAGUAUAUUAAGCUUGAUUAGAUUACCUUAGGGAUAACAGCGUUAUUUUAAAAAUAAGAUUGCGACCUCGAUGUUGGACUAGGGACUUCGCGGCUAGCAGCCCUCAAAGAUGGUUCUGUUCGAACCUAACACCCUACGUGAUCUG
RNAcentral lists this ribosomal RNA (503 nucleotides) under Microtralia occidentalis. RNAcentral describes it as "partial 16S ribosomal RNA". It matches the Rfam family "Bacterial large subunit ribosomal RNA", at positions 1809 to 2607 of the family's 2925-position model. Lineage: Eukaryota; Metazoa; Mollusca; Gastropoda; Ellobiida; Ellobiidae. The record is from RNAcentral.